This 418-nucleotide unclassified non-coding RNA is filed under the name Hevea brasiliensis (rubber tree). Lineage: Eukaryota; Viridiplantae; Streptophyta; Magnoliopsida; Malpighiales; Euphorbiaceae. The record is from RNAcentral.
UUCAGGGAUAGUUAUUAAAAUUUACCCAAUUUUCUUUGAUGCGAAAGGGUUACUUGAUAAUGUAUUCUUUCCUGCUCAUGUUCAAACAACAACAUUAAUCAUAAUUCACAUGCUUCCAAAUGAUUUGAUGAUCGUCCAGAAGAAAUUAAUCUAUUUUAACAUGUCCUCUAUCAGCAGGGGCACUGAUGUAGUGCAUAUCAGUUUUGGAAUCCAGAUCAUUGGCAAAGUGAAACUGACUUAACACCAUGCCUAUAUACUUCACUUUAUUAUCUUAGAUGUGAUAAUCAAAUUUUAGGGCCCUAGUUCUGCACUCAUGGAAGAAAGAUAAAUACCAUGUGAAAGUAUCAGAGUAACAUUAGAUGUGAAAAAAUUUUCAGAACAACUUUAUUUACUCAAGCCAUGAAUUAUUAAUAUAUAU